Molecule: ribosomal RNA, 447 nt
Filed under: uncultured bacterium
Lineage: Bacteria
Description: bacterial SSU rRNA
Rfam family: Bacterial small subunit ribosomal RNA
Source: RNAcentral
UGGGGAAUCUUGCACAAUGGGGGAAACCCUGAUGCAGCGACGCCGCGUGAGUGAUGAAGUCCUUCGGGAUGUAAAGCUCUUUCGACAGGGACGAUUAUGACGGUACCUGGAGAAGAAGCUGCGGCUAACUACGUGCCAGCAGCCGCGGUAAUACGUAGGCAGCGAACGUUGUUCGGAGUUACUGGGCGUAAAGCGCGUGUAGGUGGUCGAGUAAGUCGAAUGUGAAAGCCCCGGGCUCAACCCGGGAAGUGCAUCCGAAACUGCUCGACUAGAGUCCCGGAGAGGAAGGCAGAAUUCCCAAUGUAGGGGUGAAAUCCGUAGAUAUUGGGAGGAAUACCGGUGGCGAAGGCGGCCUUCUGGACGGUGACUGACACUCAGACGCGAAAGCGUGGGGAGCAAACAGGAUUAGAUACCCCGGUAGUCCCUGAGCGGGCUGGCAAGGCGCAU